RNAcentral lists this transfer RNA (68 nucleotides) under Pseudomonadales bacterium. RNAcentral's name for it is "tRNA-Met". RNAcentral also lists the same sequence under 2 other names. The record is from RNAcentral. Lineage: Bacteria; Pseudomonadati; Pseudomonadota; Gammaproteobacteria; Pseudomonadales.
GGGCUUGCAGCGUUGCGUGCAAACUCAUAAUCGCUUGGUCCCAGGUUCAAGUCCUGGUGGGCCCACCA